UGUAGGAGCGAGCCUGCUCGCGAAUACGUCGGUACAUUCAGUAUUUGAUGUGACUGAUACGCCGCCUUCGCGAGCAGGCUCGCUCCCACA
RNAcentral lists this non-coding RNA (90 nucleotides) under Pseudomonas sp. WPR_5_2. The record is from RNAcentral. Lineage: Bacteria; Pseudomonadati; Pseudomonadota; Gammaproteobacteria; Pseudomonadales; Pseudomonadaceae.